UACGUAGGAGGCGAGCGUUGUCCGGAAUUACUGGGCGUAAAGAGCGCGUAGGCGGCACGGUACGACCGGUGUGAAAGCCCCCCGGCUCAACUGGGGGAGGGUCACCGGUAACGGUCGAGCUAUGAGUGCAGGAGAGGGAAGUGGAACUCCGGGAGUAGCGGUGAAAUGCGUAGAGAUCCGGAAGAACACCGGUGGCGAAGGCGGUUAGCUGGGCAGUUGCUGACACUGAGGCGCGACAGCGUGGGGAGCAAACAGG
RNAcentral lists this ribosomal RNA (256 nucleotides) under uncultured bacterium. RNAcentral's name for it is "partial 16S ribosomal RNA". It matches the Rfam family "Bacterial small subunit ribosomal RNA", at positions 524 to 776 of the family's 1533-position model. The record is from RNAcentral.